GAUCCUGGCUCAGGAUGAACGCUAGCUACAGGCUUAACACAUGCAAGUCGAGGGGAAACGACAUCGAAAGCUUGCUUUUGAUGGGCGUCGACCGGCGUACGGGUGAGUAACGCGUAUCCAACCUGCCCAUCACUUGGGGAUAACCUUGCGAAAGUAAGACUAAUACCCAAUGACGUCUCUAGAAGACAUCUGAAAGGGAUUAAAGAUUUAUCGGUGAUGGAUGGGGAUGCGUCUGAUUAGCUUG
This 244-nucleotide ribosomal RNA is filed under the name uncultured bacterium. Its description in RNAcentral is "partial 16S ribosomal RNA". It matches the Rfam family "Bacterial small subunit ribosomal RNA", at positions 15 to 248 of the family's 1533-position model. The record is from RNAcentral.